UAAAGAUGCACCUGCGGGAAGAGAGAGAGAGAGGAGAAGAAGGAGGAGAAAAGGGGAAAGAGAUCGAAGGGAUGAGAAUUCGGAAUCGCCCGUUACCUUCUUCAUUGCUUGUUCAAUCACCUCCUUCUUCUCCUCCUCUUUCCCCUGUUUCUUCUCCU
This 158-nucleotide non-coding RNA is filed under the name Paramoeba aestuarina. The record is from RNAcentral. Lineage: Eukaryota; Discosea; Flabellinia; Dactylopodida; Paramoebidae.